GACGAACGCUGGCGGCGCGCCUAACACAUGCAAGUCGAACGGAGUCAAGAGGAGCUUGCUUUUCUUGACUUAGUGGCGAACGGGUGAGUAACGCGUGAGUAACCUGCCCUGGAGUGGGGGACAACAGUUGGAAACGGCUGCUAAUACCGCAUAAGCCCACGGAUCCGCAUGGAUCUGCGGGAAAAGGAUUUAUUCGCUUCAGGAUGGACUCGCGUCCAAUUAGCUAGUUGGUGAGGUAACGGCCCACCAAGGCGACGAUUGGUAGCCGGACUGAGAGGUUGAACGGCCACAUUGGGACUGAGACACGGCCCAGACUCCUACGGGAGGCAGCAGUGGGGGAUAUUGCACAAUGGGGGAAACCCUGAUGCAGCGACGCCGCGUGGAGGAAGAAGGUUUUCGGAUUGUAAACUCCUGUCGUUAGGGACGAUAAUGACGGUACCUAACAAGAAAGCACCGGCUAACUACGUG
This 468-nucleotide ribosomal RNA is filed under the name uncultured bacterium. RNAcentral's name for it is "partial 16S ribosomal RNA". It matches the Rfam family "Bacterial small subunit ribosomal RNA", at positions 28 to 507 of the family's 1533-position model. The record is from RNAcentral.